CCCUUAGAUGUUCUGGGCUGCACGCGCGCUACACUGAUGCACUCAACGAGUUUUCGACCUUGUCCGAGAGGAUUGGGUAAUCUUUUUAAAAUGCAUCGUGAUGGGGAUAGAUUAUUGCAAUUAUUAAUCUUCAACGAGGAAUUCCUAGUAAGCGCGAGUCAUCAGCUCGUGCUGAUUACGUCCCUGCCCUUUGUACACACCGCCCGUCGCUCCUACCGAUUGAGUGCUCAGGUGAAUAAUUCGGACUGCAGCACUGCUUGGUCUCCAGGCUUUGCAGCGGAAAGUUUAGUGAACCUUAUCACUUAGAGGAAGGAGAAGUCGUAACA
RNAcentral lists this ribosomal RNA (326 nucleotides) under uncultured eukaryote. RNAcentral's name for it is "partial 18S ribosomal RNA". It matches the Rfam family "Eukaryotic small subunit ribosomal RNA", at positions 1470 to 1796 of the family's 1831-position model. The record is from RNAcentral.